AAUGUGUGUCAACAACGCACGUUGAAUACGUCCCUGCCCUUUGUACACACCGCCUGUCGCUCCUACCGAUUGGAUGACUCGGUGAAAUCACCGGAUGCUUACGAGCAGAAAGUGAUUAAAUCACGUUAUCUAGAGGAAGGAGAAGUCGUAACAAGGUAACGGUAGGUGAACCUGCCGUUGGAUCAGUU
This 188-nucleotide non-coding RNA is filed under the name Trichomonas vaginalis G3. Its description in RNAcentral is "Eukaryotic small subunit ribosomal RNA". It matches the Rfam family "Eukaryotic small subunit ribosomal RNA", at positions 1620 to 1831 of the family's 1831-position model. Lineage: Eukaryota; Parabasalia; Trichomonadida; Trichomonadidae. The record is from Rfam by way of RNAcentral.